GGAUUAGAUACCCUGGUAGUCCACGCCGUAAACGAUGUAUACUAGUUGUCGGGUAUUAACUCGGUGACGCAGCUAACGCAUUAAGUAUACCGCCUGGGGAGUACGGUCGCAAGAUUAAAACUCAAAGAAAUUGACGGGGACCCGCACAAGCGGUGGAGCAUGUGGUUUAAUUCGAAGCAACGCGAAGAACCUUACCCACCUUUGACAUACUAGUUUGGGAUAGUGGAGACACUUUCUUUCAGUUCGGCUGGGCUAGAUACAGGUGCUGCAUGGCUGUCGUCAGCUCGUGCC
This 291-nucleotide ribosomal RNA is filed under the name uncultured bacterium. RNAcentral describes it as "partial 16S ribosomal RNA". It matches the Rfam family "Bacterial small subunit ribosomal RNA", at positions 775 to 1066 of the family's 1533-position model. The record is from RNAcentral.